CCGUCGGUAGUCAGGGCGCCACAACUCUUAAAUUAAUCCGAUUUUGAAAUGACAUUUUAAUUGAAACCUUCCGCUCCGUUUCCAUCAACGAAACGGAAACUGGUUGGUUUGAAGUUGAGAGACAAGCGUGGACCGUCCUUAUCUAUGAGUUUACCGAUACCUUAUACUCUAUUUAUUGUCUGUCUGUAUUUGUGACAAACCCUUAACUGUGGGACUCACUGAGAGUGGUAUUCUGCCGGAGGUUAUUGGUGCGUCCAUCCCAUGGGAAUACUUAAAAUUUAUGUAGCAAG
Molecule: long non-coding RNA, 290 nt
Organism: Eupeodes corollae
Lineage: Eukaryota; Metazoa; Arthropoda; Insecta; Diptera; Syrphidae
Exons: 3
Source: RefSeq, a predicted model, not a curated record